This is a long non-coding RNA of Nanorana parkeri, 97 nucleotides long. RefSeq lists it as uncharacterized. NCBI's taxonomy places the organism in Eukaryota, Metazoa, Chordata, Amphibia, Anura, Dicroglossidae. The transcript has 3 exons. The record is from RefSeq and is a predicted model, not a curated record.
AACUAUGAGGUGAAAUUAUCAAAGACAGAAUCUAGAACAGGUGCUCAUAGUAACCAAUCAGCUUCUCUCUUCAGUCUGUUGAGUUAAGCUUUGAAAA